This is an RNA transcript of Populus trichocarpa (black cottonwood), 1200 nucleotides long. It is a transcript of the gene named peptidyl-prolyl cis-trans isomerase FKBP16-3, chloroplastic, with no coding region annotated. Lineage: Eukaryota; Viridiplantae; Streptophyta; Magnoliopsida; Malpighiales; Salicaceae. The transcript has 8 exons. The record is from RefSeq and is a predicted model, not a curated record.
AGCAAAAGUAAAAUAAGAAUCAAGAUUUCGUUAUCCACUUUCAGACAUUGCAGGCUCCUCAAUCAUUUUUAUCUCAAGAAAACCAAAAACGAAAAAAAAUGGCUUCUUCUUCUCCUUCAUCUCUUCUGCUUCCACUUGGUUCUUCUUCUGGCAAAACUACUAAAAGACAUGGCACUAUUAAUGUCUUUGACAAAGUCCAAGGUUUGAUGAACAUUAAUGUGCAAUGCUCAAACUUGGACCUUAGAAUUAGAGCAAGAGAGAAGAAGAUGGAUACAAGUUUGAUGAAGAGAAGAGAUCAUGUAAUUGGGCUGGUAUUAGGGGUUUCAAGUCUUUGUAAUAUAGGCUUAUUUGAUGAUACUGCCAAAGCAGCUGGAUUGCCACCAGAAGAUAAGCCAAGAUUAUGUGAUGAAAACUGUGAGAAAGAGCUUGAAAAUGUGCCAAUGGUGACUACAGAGUCUGGAUUGCAGUUCAAGGAUAUUAAAGUUGGUCGAGGCCCUAGUCCUCCAGUUGGUUUUCAGGUUGCUGCUAAUUAUGUUGCCAUGGUUCCAUCUGGGCAAAUUUUUGACAGUUCAUUGGAGAAAGGGCAGCUCUAUAUCUUUCGUGUUGGCUCUGAUCAGGUGAUCAAGGGACUUGAUGAAGGGAUCCUGAGCAUGAAAGUUGGAGGGAAGCGGCGGCUCUACAUUCCAGGACUGUUGGCUUUCCCGAAAGGACUCACUUCAGCUCCAGGAAGGCCAAGGGUGGCACCAAAUAGUCCUGUAGUUUUCGAUGUCAGUUUGGAAUACAUACCAGGCCUUGAAGUGGAAGAAGAAUAAGACUUGAAUAAUCUCCAUCUCCCAUUUCUUAUUUCAGCCUUGCCUCUCUCCCUUUACAUGAUCUCCCCAAACAAGGUUAAAAAUCCCAUACCAUUUGGUCUGGUCCAGGUUUCUUGUCGGAUUGAGUGGGAGUUCACUCGGUCGAGCCGGUCACCUUGAUAAAUCAAAUCGUGACCAGAUUGAACCAGUCAAAACCCAGAUGAGAGCUUACUUGAUUUUUGUUUAUAACAAAAUCUUUUUAUAUUUUUUUUAAGAAAAAUCUUUAAGAAAUAUUGUUUUGAUCGACCCGAGUUGACUUGUUUAUUUUAUCACCUGAGUUACAGGUCAAAUCGAGUUUUAUAACUAGAAUCUUUCAAGAAUAGCGCACAAUAUCAAGAAAAUUCAGUAA